AUACGUAGGUGGCAAGCGUUAUCCGGAAUUACUGGGCGUAAAGCGCACGCAGGCGGCCAGUCAAGUCUGACGUGAAAGCUCCUGGCUUAACUGGGAGAGGUCGUUGGAAACUGAUUGGCUUGAGGCAAUGAGAGGGACACGGAAUUCCCGGUGUAGUGGUGGAAUGCGUAGAUAUCGGGAGGAACACCAGUGGCGAAAGCGGUGUCCUGGCAUUGACCUGACGCUCAUGUGCGAAAGCGUGGGGAGCGAACGGGAUUAGAAACCCGAGUAGUCC
This 274-nucleotide ribosomal RNA is filed under the name uncultured bacterium. RNAcentral describes it as "partial 16S ribosomal RNA". It matches the Rfam family "Bacterial small subunit ribosomal RNA", at positions 523 to 796 of the family's 1533-position model. The record is from RNAcentral.